RNAcentral lists this ribosomal RNA (253 nucleotides) under uncultured bacterium. Its description in RNAcentral is "partial 16S ribosomal RNA". It matches the Rfam family "Bacterial small subunit ribosomal RNA", at positions 524 to 776 of the family's 1533-position model. The record is from RNAcentral.
UACAGAGGUCUCAAGCGUUGUUCGGAUUCAUUGGGCGUAAAGGGUGUGUAGGUGGCGCCGUAAGUCGGGUGUGAAAUUUCGGAGCUUAACUCCGAAACUGCAUUCGAUACUGCCGUGCUUGAGGACUGGAGAGGAGAGUGGAAUUUACGGUGUAGCGGUGAAAUGCGUAGAUAUCGUAAGGAAGACCAGUGGCGAAGGCGGGUCUCUGGACAGUGACUGACGCUGAGGCACGAAGGCCAGGGGAGCAAACGGG